Molecule: long non-coding RNA, 1262 nt
Filed under: Homo sapiens (human)
Lineage: Eukaryota; Metazoa; Chordata; Mammalia; Primates; Hominidae
Description: HSALNT0370830
Source: RNAcentral
CUUCACCAGCUCCGCGGAAACCAUAGCAACGGGCAGCCGGAAGAUGCGGCCAUUCCUCUCCCUUUUGUCCAUUGCAUUUCAGCAGCGCCCGCGCACAUGGACGCUCCAAUUACAGGUACUUGGGAGGGGACGCCUUUGUCCGCGGCCCAUUCACGGCGGAGCCGGCUCCGGGCGGAGAAGCUGUCGGGCGCUGUCGCACAAAGCGAUUUUGUGCCUCCUCCCGGCGCCUUCCUCCACUCCCUGCCGCGUUCAAGGACAAACAAGGACCUCCAAAUUCGUGUUCAAACGCCCCGCGUGGUAGGCAGUGUGGGGGGGUCAGAGGAGAGUCUGGAAGGAACCCAAAGGGUGAGCAGACCUAGCCAGUGAAGAACGCACAGACAUACUGACCCAGCAGCCCCCAGAAGAGAAGCCAGGGACCAGAAGCGCAGGGCACGGGAAUGUGUCAUGAUUGGCGCACAGGCUGUGGCCCCACCGCUGCCUGCCUUACUCCCCUCUGCGCGCUGACCUUCCACUCCUCCUGCACCGAGGUCCUUCUCAAACCAGAGGCUUCACACCUGUUCUUCCCUCUGGCUCAGAUUUCCCAUCCCUCUUUGCACACUUAACUGCUACCCGACCCUCAGUCUCAGCUCCAGCGUGCCUUCCUGGAAGAAGCUUCCCUGCCCACCCCUCCAUUCCCUUUCCCAGGUUCCCACAGCCCCCUAAGCUGUGCUUUCCACGUCUACAAUCAUAUAUAUUUCUUAAAUGCCGUAUAAGUUUCCAGCGGCUCCUGUAACAGAUGACCACAAACUGGAUGGCUUAAAACAACACGUAUGCAUUGUCUCCCAGCUCUAGAGGCUAGAAAUUGGCAGUCAGGAUGUGUGUAAGGCCACGCUCCCUCUGAAGACUCCAGGGGAGGAUCUUUCCUUGCCUCCUCCAGCUUCUGGUGGCUGCCAGCAUCCUUGGCAUUCCUUGGCCUGUGGACACAUCACUCUCAUCUCUGCCCAUGGUCACAACCCCAAGCUCCAGAAUACAGACCAGCAGGCGAGGAGACAAGGAGGCAAGCAGAUGGAUGGUGGAACAAAGUGGCAGAGAAAGAGAGAAGAGGAGAGAUGUCUGGACGCCAAGAGGAGUCUGGCUGGGGCCAGUCAGAGAAGAGUCCAGCGGCUGGGCAGCCCGACUCCAGGGGAAGAUCACCUUCCCACUCCAUCCCCCUUCACGCUCCCCAUCCAUCUCACUAAGAGCCAUCUCUACCACUCAAUAAAACCUUGCAUUCAUCCUUCAAA